RNAcentral lists this ribosomal RNA (468 nucleotides) under uncultured bacterium. RNAcentral describes it as "partial 16S ribosomal RNA". It matches the Rfam family "Bacterial small subunit ribosomal RNA", at positions 28 to 507 of the family's 1533-position model. The record is from RNAcentral.
GACGAACGCUGGCGGCGUGCUUAACACAUGCAAGUCGAACGGAAAGGCCCUGCUUUUGUGGGGUGCUCGAGUGGCGAACGGGUGAGUAACACGUGAGUAACCUGCCCUUGACUUUGGGAUAACUUCAGGAAACUGGGGCUAAUACCGGAUAGGAGCUCCUGCUGCAUGGUGGGGGUUGGAAAGUUUCGGCGGUUGGGGAUGGACUCGCGGCUUAUCAGCUUGUUGGUGGGGUAGUGGCUUACCAAGGCUUUGACGGGUAGCCGGCCUGAGAGGGUGACCGGCCACAUUGGGACUGAGAUACGGCCCAGACUCCUACGGGAGGCAGCAGUGGGGAGUAUUGCACACUGGGCGGAAGCCUGAUGCAGCACCGCCGCGUGCGGGAUGACGGCCUUCGGGUUGUAAGCCGCUUUCGCCUGUGACGAAGCGUGAGUGACGGUAAUGGGUAAAGAAGCACCGGCUAACUACGUG